GCGUUAGCCCAUACCACCCUGAACUCGCAGCAUCUUGCAAGCCAAGCAGGGUCGGGCCUGGUUAGUACUUGCAUGGGAGACUGCCUGGGAAUACCGGGUGCUGGAGGCU
This 109-nucleotide ribosomal RNA is filed under the name Leptotrombidium deliense. The record is from RNAcentral. Lineage: Eukaryota; Metazoa; Arthropoda; Arachnida; Trombidiformes; Trombiculidae.